UUUAUGUAAUUUUGUAAAGAUUUUAGUUUAUGGCAACCGAACUGAACCGAACCGUCUAUUUUCUGUUUGGUUUGGUUAUUCUUUGAAGGUCGGUUUGGUUUGGUCUAUUUUUUUCAUUGAUUCGGUUAUUCAGUUUUUCUAGUUUGUUUCGAUUUGGAACCGAACCGACCGAGUGCUCCCCCCUAGAAAACAAGUUUGAUAUUGGCUUAAUAGGUAGUCAGUUAUAGCUAGCAUAACAUGUCUCCAAGCAUAUCAACGGUUAAGAAAAGAAAAGUAAAUUUACUUUGUUUGAGUGCAAGUAGAAGGCACCUGCGCUUGCUUGAGAAUCUUCUCUUCCAUAAUCAGACCCAUUUUCUUGAGUAAUUAUAUAGUAAUUCAGUGAUUUCAUGUAGGAUGCGUCGAUAGAAUGGCAAACUACUGACAAGUUAACAUGUAGAUAAAUUUAGUUAUAACAAAAAAAAAAAAA
This 466-nucleotide unclassified non-coding RNA is filed under the name Hevea brasiliensis (rubber tree). The record is from RNAcentral. Lineage: Eukaryota; Viridiplantae; Streptophyta; Magnoliopsida; Malpighiales; Euphorbiaceae.